AGAGUUUGAUCCUGGCUCAGGACGAACGCUGGCGGCGUGCUUAAUACAUGCAAGUCGAACGAGAAAGUUUCCUUCGGGGAAUGAGUAGAGUGGCGCACGGGUGAGUAACGCGUAGGUAAUCUACCUUUGAGUCUGAGAUAACCUCGGGAAACUGGGGCUAAUACCGGAUGACGCUAUAGAUUUAGAAGUUUAUAGUUAAAGGGCCUUCGGGUCUGCUUGGAGAUGAGCCUGCGACCUAUCAGCUAGUUGGUAGUGUAAUGGACUACCAAGGCGAAGACGGGUAGCUGGUCUGAGAGGAUGAUCAGCCACACUGGCACUGAGACACGGGCCAGACUCCUACGGGAGGCAGCAGUAGGGAAUAUUGCGCAAUGGGCGAAAGCCUGACGCAGCGACGCCGCGUGAGUGAAGAAGGGAGUUAUUGUUGUAAAGCUCUGUAAGGGGGGAAGAAAUUUGACGGUACCCCCAGAGUAAGGACCGGCUAAAUACGUGCCAGCAGCCGCGGUAAUACGUAUGGUCCGAGCGUUGUCCGGAAUGACUGGGCGUAAAGGGAGUGUAGGCGGACUAAUAUGUCAGGUGUGUAAUCCCUCGGCUUAACCGAGGAACUGCGCUUGAAACUGUUAGUCUAGAGUAUGUCAGAGGCAAGCGGAAUUCCCGGAGUAGCGGUGAAAUGCGUAGAGAUCGGGAAGAACACCAGUGGCGAAGGCGGCUUGCUGGGGCAUAACUGACGCUGAGGCUCGAAAGCGUGGGGAGCGAACGGGAUUAGAUACCCCGGUAGUCCACGCUGUAAACGAUGGAUACUAGAUGUAUGGUAUAUUAAAAUAUUAUGUGUCGAAGUUAACGCGAUAAGUAUCCCGCCUGGGGAGUACGGCCGCAAGGUUAAAACUCAAAGGAAUUGACGGGGGCCCGCACAAGCGGUGGAGCAUGUGGUUUAAUUCGAUGCAACGCGAAGAACCUUACCCGGGCUUGACAUCCUCCUGCCGGAUUUUAGAGAUAGAAUCUCCUUCUUCGGAAGCGGGAGUGACAGGUGCUGCAUGGCUGUCGUCAGCUCGUGUUGUGAGAUGUUGGGUUAAGUCCCGCAACGAGCGCAACCCUUGUUGUUAGUUGCCAUCAUUAAGUUGGGCACUCUAGCAAGACUGCCGAGGUUAACUCGGAGGAAGGUGGGGAUGACGUCAAGUCCUCAUGGCCCUUAUGUCCGGGGCUACACACGUGCUACAAUGGUGGGGACAAAGUGAAGCUAAGUUGAAAAACCAAGCAAAUCACAAAAACCUCAUCCCAGUUCGGAUUGGGGUCUGCAACUCGACCCUAUGAAGUUGGAAUCGCUAGUAAUCGCAGAUCAGCAUGCUGCGGUGAAUACGUUCCCGGGCCUUGUACACACCGCCCGUCACACCAUGGGAGUUGUUCUCACUGGACGACGUUGAGCUAGCUCGCAAGAGAGGCAGGCGUUAAUGGUGAGGAUAGCGACUGGGGUGAAGUCGAAACAAGGUA
RNAcentral lists this ribosomal RNA (1485 nucleotides) under metagenome. Its description in RNAcentral is "bacterial SSU rRNA". It matches the Rfam family "Bacterial small subunit ribosomal RNA". The record is from RNAcentral.